UUUCGCAAUGCCCGAAAGGGUGACGAAGCGACGCCGCGCGUGGGAAGAAGGCCUUCGGGUUGUAAACCACUGUCAUGAGUUAAGAAAUGCAUGUGCGUUAAUAGCGUUCUUACUUGACUAAGGCUCCAGAGGAAGCCACGGCUAACUCUGUGCCAGCAGCCGCGGUAAUACAGAGGCGGCAAGCGUUGUUCGGAAUUAUUGGGCGUAAAGAGCACGUAGGCGGCCCUGAAAGUCAGUUGUGAAAGCCUUCUGCUUAACGGAAGAAUAGCAUCUGAUACUACAGGGCUAGAGUGCGGGAGGGGAGAGUGGAACUUCUGGUGGAGCGGUGAAAUGCGUAGAUAUCAGAAGGAACGCCGGCGGCGAAAGCGGCUCUCUUGCCCGUAACUGACGCUGAGUGUGCGAAAGCUAGGGGAGCAAACGGGAUUAGAUACCCCGGUAGUCCUAGCCGUAAACGAUGGGCACUAAGUAGAGGGGUUUU
Molecule: ribosomal RNA, 478 nt
Filed under: uncultured Planctomycetales bacterium
Lineage: Bacteria; Pseudomonadati; Planctomycetota; Planctomycetia; Planctomycetales
Description: bacterial SSU rRNA
Rfam family: Bacterial small subunit ribosomal RNA
Source: RNAcentral